RNAcentral lists this ribosomal RNA (268 nucleotides) under uncultured bacterium. Its description in RNAcentral is "partial 16S ribosomal RNA". It matches the Rfam family "Bacterial small subunit ribosomal RNA", at positions 28 to 291 of the family's 1533-position model. The record is from RNAcentral.
GACGAACGCUGGCGGCGCGCUUAACACAUGCAAGUCGAGCGAGAACCAGUCCUGGACUGGGAAAGCGGCGAACGGGUGAGUAACACGUGGGUAACCCACCCUUGGUACCGGGAUAGCCCGAGGAAACUCGGAUUAAUACCGGAUGGCCCAGCAGCUCGUUUCGGGGCGGUUGGAAAAGGUAGCUUCGGCCUCCGACCAAGGACGGGCCCGCGGCGGAUUAGCUUGGUUGGUGGGGUAAUGGCCUACCAAGGCGACGAGCCGAGCUGGU